This 335-nucleotide ribosomal RNA is filed under the name uncultured bacterium. RNAcentral's name for it is "bacterial SSU rRNA". It matches the Rfam family "Bacterial small subunit ribosomal RNA", at positions 72 to 422 of the family's 1533-position model. The record is from RNAcentral.
AAGUGGAGCAAUCCAUGAGUAAAGUGGCGACCGGGUGAGUAACACGUGACUACCUACCCUCGAGUGGGGAAUAACUCCGGGAAACCGGGGCUAAUACCGCAUAACAUCGAGAGAUCAAAGCAGAAAUGCGCUUGAGGAGGGGGUCGCGGCUGAUUAGCUAGUUGGUAGGGUAAUGGCCUACCAAGGCGAAGAUCGGUAUCCGGCCUGAGAGGGCGCACGGACACACUGGAACUGAAACACGGUCCAGACUCCUACGGGAGGCAGCAGUGGGGAAUUUUGCGCAAUGGGGGAAACCCUGACGCAGCAACGCCGCGUGGAGGAUGAAGCCCCUUGGG